AUUGAACGCUGGCGGCAGGCCUAACACAUGCAAGUCGAGCGGAUGAAGGGAGCUUGCUCCUGGAUUCAGCGGCGGACGGGUGAGUAAUGCCUAGGAAUCUGCCUGGUAGUGGGGGAUAACGUCCGGAAACGGGCGCUAAUACCGCAUACGUCCUGAGGGAGAAAGUGGGGGAUCUUCGGACCUCACGCUAUCAGAUGAGCCUAGGUCGGAUUAGCUAGUUGGUGGGGUAAAGGCCUACCAAGGCGACGAUCCGUAACUGGUCUGAGAGGAUGAUCAGUCACACUGGAACUGAGACACGGUCCAGACUCCUACGGGAGGCAGCAGUGGGGAAUAUUGGACAAUGGGCGAAAGCCUGGUCCAGCCAUGCCGCGUGUGUGAAGAAGGUCUUCGGAUUGUAAAGCACUUUAAGUGGGGAGGAAGGGCAGUAAGUUAAUACCUUGCUGUUUUGACGUUACCAACAGAAUAAGCACCGGCUAACUUCGUG
Molecule: ribosomal RNA, 484 nt
Filed under: uncultured bacterium
Lineage: Bacteria
Description: partial 16S ribosomal RNA
Rfam family: Bacterial small subunit ribosomal RNA
Source: RNAcentral